UACGUAGGGGGCAAGCGUUAUCCGGAUUUACUGGGUGUAAAGGGAGCGUAGACGGCAGCGCAGGUCUGGAGUGAAAUGCCGGGGCUCAACCCCGGAAUUGCUUUGGAAACUGUGCAGCUAGAGUGCGGGAGAGGUAAGCGGAAUUCCUAGUGUAGCGGUGAAAUGCGUAGAUAUUAGGAGGAACACCAGUGGCGAAGGCGGCUUACUGGACCGUAACUGACGUUGAGGCUCGAAAGCGUGGGGAGCAAACAGG
RNAcentral lists this ribosomal RNA (253 nucleotides) under uncultured bacterium. RNAcentral describes it as "partial 16S ribosomal RNA". It matches the Rfam family "Bacterial small subunit ribosomal RNA", at positions 524 to 776 of the family's 1533-position model. The record is from RNAcentral.